UUUAAAAGAGAAAAAAACAAUGUAUAAAUUCCAAAACAUCAAGGGAGGAAAAUAAAAUACAAAAAUCAAUUCUAAAAACCCCUUUAAAUUAAAAAACUGAAAGGCCUGAAAGAGGCGGAGAGCGGAGAGGGAAGUGCAGCAGGCAGCCCCACCUGGACACGGGGUGAACCGUGUGAAACUGUAAAACAGACUCACGAGCAUCAAAGAACUGAGCUAGCAGCCAGGAAUCCAGGUGAAAACCCACGUGGGGCAGGGCGGAGUGUCUUCUGAGCAGGGCUUACAAGCAGGGAUCUGACAACGCCGGCUUGGGGAGGAGACUCCAGCGUGGCCAGCAGGGCCAGCGUUCGCACCCGGGCUCCAGCUCCGGAUCGGGUAUGAGAAGAAGCUGCGUGGAGCUUGGGCAGCUUCACGGGGACCCCAGGACGGAAGUCAGAGCUGGGGCAAGGGCCCCACGUUAAAGCAAAGGUGAACAGGAGAGAACUGGCCUGGCAGGGACUGAAGUCCACCCUGGAUCACCUCCACCCUGUGUGAAUUAAAUGACCUGCCACCCAGCCAUCUGCUAGGAGAAAAGCAGGUACCUGCAGAAACGUGGGGCCACAAAGUCCUUGAUGCAUGUGCUGAGGCAGGUCCCCAGCGAGGGUUAGGGUGGCCGCACAGGGCCUCACUGGACAGUUUGCCCCUGGGAGUGUGUGCGUGGGGGCUCUGAAAUGCCAGCCUCAAAGGCUGUGGUCAGGGCUGUGGAUGGACUGCUCUAGUUCUUUCCAGAUCAUGCUCAAGUGUUUACAGGUGAAGGGUCAUGAUGUCUGUAUCCAAAAUGGCUCUGAAAACUAAAACAGAAAACAAUGAUAUUGUCACAUAUAAAGAGUAAGAUAUAUGGGCACCAUGCACACCCCUGUGAUCCCUGGCUCAGGAGGCUGAGGCCGGAGGAUCGCAAGACCAACCCAGUGAGACCCUAAGCAACUCAGCAAGACCCUGUCUCUAAACAAAAUGUAUUUUUUAAAGGGCUGGGGAUGUGCCUCAGUGGGUAAGAACCCCUGGUUUCCACACCCAGUUCCAGUCCCACCAAAAAAAAAAAAAAAAAAACAAAUGCAUCGAAAACAGUUGACCUAGGAGAAAAAUAUGCGAAUUUUCUAUUUUACAUUUUUCAACCUGGAAAUAUCGAAAAAAUCCAUAAGCACCUCCAGAAGACUUACUCAAAACUUGUUGAAUCACACAAUUUAAAUUGAUCUGUUUUAUUGUAUGAAAGUCAUAUCUCAACAGAUAGGUCAGAAAUGUAAUCGGUCGGUUUAACUGCAGUUCACACCUAAAAGGAAGAAGAACUAGAAGAUAGAGCACAGGUUAAAUCCACACUAAACAGAAAAAUAGGGGAGACUGCAGAACAAACACAGGGAGAAGAUCCAACUCAGGUUCCCCACCUGGAGACGAGGCAGAGCGGAGCGGGAGCAGCGUUGCAGACCCAGGCCGCGGGUCAGGGGUGCUGCAGAGGCCCAACCGGGAAGAGAGCAGAAUCCCAUCAGCCCAGGAUGUAGAGCCGAGGCCAAAACCAAGGGGAUACAAGAAGCUUCCAGAGGGAAGAGACCUCCCGCUUUUAGGGCCCAGCAGUGAAGGGACACUGGCCUUUCAGCAGAAGUACCGACCGGCAGGUGGCGGGGGACUGACGCUGCCUAGAGCAGGUCACCAGUGAGCGGAAAUCAAAACCCGGCAGAAGCAUUCUCCAGGCAGGGUGGGGUGGCAGCACUUGCAGUCCCAGCUCCGGAGGCUGAGGCAGGAGGAUGGCAAGUUCAAGCCCGGCUUGGGCAAUUUAGUGAGACUGUCGCAAACUACAGUGUCCCCCCGCCCCCCCUCCAAAAAAAGGUUGAACAGAAACAUUUUAGAGAAACUCCGAGGUUUGCCACCAUCAACUUCCAGUUAAGGAAACAGCAAGCAAUGUCCUUCAUGCAGAAGGGAAAAACCCCAGGAGGUUCGGGCGCAGGAGGAAGGGAGGCCCAGAGGGCUGGCAGAGGCAGUGCAAGUCUGACACGCGUCCGGUGCGAACCCAGCUGUGGGACCUCUCACGGGACCUGGAGCAUCAACUGGACAAAAGAGGUGUUGAUGCCGACCACUGAGGGCACAGCCUGUGCUGGUGCUGGACCCGGGCCAUGGCCCGUGUGGUGCAGGGACUGUGCAGGUGGAGCUGCAUUAUGAGAUUCUCCUGGAUUAUCCCGUGGGCCUGGAAGGGGCAGCCAGGGAGGCAUGGCUUACGAGAAGUGCAGGACAGCCUUAGAGAACUCUCCUGAGGUUGGCAGCUGGGCUGAUCAGAUCCAGUUCAGUGGACUCAGAGUGAAGGUCCUGGGGAAGGGAAGGGGCAGGUCCUGGCAGGGUCUCACACUGCAGCCUCUGGGACACAGAGACACGGCAUUUUGGUUUAUGUUUGGGAUAUUCAUAAGGCAGAGGUUCCCAAAUGUUCUACGCCCCAAAGGGGAUGACCUUUGUGGCCCAGCAGUUCUAACAUGAGUGAAAAUGGGCUGUGUGCUGGCCAGAGCCUCCUCUCCACUACGACUGCCUUGAGUUGGCUGGGUAUGGGCUUCUUGGCCCUGCAGAAAGGCAAGGACUGGACAGGGGAGGCCCUGCUGGCUCCCUGUCUUAGUGAGGGCUGUCCAUGGGCAGUGGUGUGUGGAGGGUCAGGUCUAGGUCUUUCAGAACUUCUGUCCCCAGGAGCCCGGCAGAUGGUUUCUGAGGUCCCACCACAGGACUAAGAAGGGCAGUCUUGCCCAGGGGCUCCAGAGGUGGGGAGGUGCCAGGACUGCCAUAGUGGGGGCUCCUCAGGCUCUGAAGGGGGCACCUGUUGGCUUCAAGAGUAAAAUUGGAAAUGUGGAAUUGUUGCCAGCAGAACCCACAGAGAACAAAGGAAUGUGGACUGGAGUGUCUGAAAAGAGAAGGGCCUGGAACUGGUCUCUCGGGGAGGUCCUGGGGGUCUCGCUGCGCCCCUCCCUGGAGAAGGGGAGAGUCUGGCUCCUGUGAGGGUGUGUGUGGCAGGAGCGGGGGUCAGGGCUUGGGAAGCUGCACCCUGUUCCCCUCAGGCAGAGCUGGCUGUGGCCAAGGGGGCGUGGCCAGGAGGAGUUGAGUGGGUUGGACUCACUGGAAGCUGGGGAGGGACUGGAGCUGGGCUACACCUGGGGCUGUAGUGCCCACCAGAAGGCCCUUGGGCUUCCAGAUGAAAGGUCAGGAGGACUGGGCUCCUGAGUACUCCCUGUGGACCUCAGUUCUGUUUUCUUUCCACUCGGCCCACUCUCUCUGCCUAGGCCUUUAGCUCCAGGGUGGGGUGUUCAGUUCCUGCUCUGGCCAACUGGGGGUGGGGGAGGGACAGCCACUGCUGCUCUGGGACUUCUUCAGAACCAGCGCCUUUCUGUUCUUUCCCCCUUCUCCCUAAACAGAAUCUGACGCACAUCUCUAGGGCGAGUCUCCCCACUGUCCUGCUUAUAUCUGCUUAUAUCUGCCCGUGCUCCUGUGGUCUUGAUGCUCUGGCAUUUGAGGCCUUGAUCCUGGACAGCCCUUGCCCACCCCAGGCUGACUAAUUCCUAGACAGCAAUGCAACUCCCCUUUGAUGCGCAGGCUGACCAAUCAGGAGCCACAGAGGCUCCUUCCCCAGACCUCCCACCAAGCACACUUCCCUGCCCUGAGAACCCUGGGUCAGGUGCACAGAAGACUGCCCUACAGCCCAGGCCCCAGGUCCCCCACUCACUCAGUGUUCCUACCAUGCCUCAGCCACUUCUUCCUGAGAAGCCAUGGUGCAGACCCUAGGCCCACCUCCGGCCUUCUGCCCUGGCCAAUAUGAGGCAUGUUGUACUCGCCCUUGGGAACGGAGCUGCAGGUCUUCUAGGGCAGCUGUCUGCCUGUGUGCCUGGCUAUGCUGCUUAGCACCCACUCUGGAUGGCAUCUUAGGAUGCAGGGCUGGCUGCUGGGUUUGAAGGUGGGCCAGGGGUACUACUCUGGGAGAAGAAACAGACAGGUGUCUUUGCCUCUGCAGGGAGCUGAUCCUGAAGCACAUGUGCUGAAGGAGUGUGUCCACCACCCUUGACGAAGCCUGCAGAGGUGUGGAGAUGGCAGGGCACCGGUGAAGAAGAGCCAGGGUCCACAGGGGGUCCACUCAUGGGACGCCUCAGUCACGUGGUCUCGGGACUCUGUAAAACUCACUAAAUUAGGAGGGUGAUGGCGUGUAGCUCAGUAGUAGAGCACCCGUGCGUUCGUCUCCUGAACCAAAAUAUAAAAACACAAAACACUUAAUUUGUUGUAAUUUAUUCUCUUGUUCUGAAUAAAAAUGUCCCUAAUUUUAUAAUAA
Molecule: long non-coding RNA, 4318 nt
Filed under: Marmota monax (woodchuck)
Lineage: Eukaryota; Metazoa; Chordata; Mammalia; Rodentia; Sciuridae
Source: RNAcentral